Long non-coding RNA from Nycticebus coucang (slow loris), 1402 nucleotides. RefSeq lists it as uncharacterized. The transcript has 3 exons. The record is from RefSeq and is a predicted model, not a curated record. NCBI's taxonomy places the organism in Eukaryota, Metazoa, Chordata, Mammalia, Primates, Lorisidae.
UCAGUCCCUGCCUUUAGGCUGCUCAGUCAGUAGGUUACUUUGACCCGCCCAAUCCUUGCUCUGAGACCCUGAGGGCGGAGCUUGCCGGGGCAGUUCUUUCACAAUGGCUUCCUGCGCCAGCUCAGUGGCUCAGUCUGGGGCCCCAGACAAUGCCCAAAGUUCUCCACACUCCUGCUCAAGCUCUCCCCAAGGCAGUUCAACUGAGUGCCAAGUCCAAGAACACCGAAACAGUUCACAGCCAACAACAUUUAUUUGGAACCUAGUGUGUACCAGAAACUAUAUAUAUGAAGACGUGAAUCCUGAAGAGAUCGGGUUUGCAGUCAAAAUGGGAAACAAAUAGAAGAUGAACACAAAAUGAUUUUGAAAGUGUAUUGACAGGUAACACUAUGAGGACUCCAAGGCCUGGAAGAGAAAACUGGCUGCCCUGAGGUUCCUUGGUGAGAACUCAACUCUCCUAGUAGAGCCAUCCAAGACGCCAGAGAAUUCUGGAGAGAGGAAUUCUGGCUGAUUGGCAGCAGCGCUGGCUGCCCUGGCUCCCAAACCCUGCCCCCCAACCCACAUCUGAGCAGCAGAGAUGCCCAGAGCCUGCAGGCCUCCACUGCUGGCCUGGCCCCAGCUUUUGCACAGGCCAGCCACUCUGUACCUGCUAUCCCCACUGCUAUCUUGUUGGGUGGCUUUUUCACAGGCCCCACAGUUCUUAGAGGUCUUUGGGGAGAGUGGCAGCUCUCUGUGUCCACUGCCAGGCCUCGGGUGUUACUCUUCAUGUGGCCUACCCAUACUCAGUUGUUUUCUCCUUGGCUCCUCCCAGGCUGGUGGCUGAAGUUUGCAGGGUACAGGUGCGUUGGGUUGGGCUCCACACCUCUCAGAACUGGUGUCUAAGUGAACCUUACCUCCCCCACCUCUGCUGGGUGCCUGAUCCCAGGCUGCUGGUGCAGUGAGUUUCCCUUGACAGAGCCCUAUUUUCAGCUCCUCAUGCAGUUGGCCUGGAUGGGAAACUUACUGCCAAUCCCCAGCUGUGUGACCUGGGGCCGAUUUCCUCAUCUUGGUGUGUCUGCUCUCUCAUCUGUCAAAUGGGACAAUCAUGGUACUUACCUUAUGGGCUUAUUUUGAGGAUUAAAUGAGUUAACAGAUCUGAAGCAUUUUCAACAGUGUCUGGCAGUGGUAAACAGUCAUUAAAUGUUAGCUAUGGUCUCUGUGUUCAAACUAUUUGUAAGUCAGGGGGGUGUUGGGGGAGAUUGUCUGGAAGUGGGUUCAUUAUAGAAAGACAUUUAACCUCUCUCUGCCUCAGUUUCCUCAUCUGUACAGUGGGAAUAAAAAUUCUGAGAGGUUAUAAUAUGAUUUUUCCACAUUAAGCCCUUAAAACAGUACAUGGCACAUAGAAUUCAAUAAAUGUUUGCUGUUA